Molecule: long non-coding RNA, 1569 nt
Organism: Oxyura jamaicensis (ruddy duck)
Lineage: Eukaryota; Metazoa; Chordata; Aves; Anseriformes; Anatidae
Exons: 2
Source: RefSeq, a predicted model, not a curated record
CAUCUUUGGAUUGGUAUCGAGACUAGGCUGGGGGAAGCUUUUUAACUUUUGGUGUCAUGUGAUAACCUUGAAGUGUCUUCUUUGGUAGUUCCAGUUGAGUGUGUUUCAGUGGUUAUGGUGAGGGAGCAGUAGAUAGAAAUACAAGGAGCCAUAAGACAACUAGCCAAUUGUACUUCUUUUCUUGUAGUCUGGAUGGACAGAAAAGGAGAGGUUUGAGGCCUGUGGUGAUAAGUUCAGGGCUAGCUUUCACCUGAAGUUUUAUUAAUGGAGAUAGAAGUUCCCCAAGGACUUGCAAACUGAGACUGUCUUCCAUGCUCUUGGCUGUCUUCAGAUUCCUCAUGUAACUAAGGAGAAAAGCAUACAUUUCAACAAGGGAAAUUGUUUACAUGUUUUUCCCCCCUUUGUCUGAGACUGUUUCAUAUGUUUUCUCUGUUGCUUGCUGGAUAAGAGUUAAUUCUUAUAGGCUGUUCAAACAUUGCUAUGUUAAAUAGCUCAACCUGUAGUCUCCAGUCCUGUCCAUGCAAUGGUCUAGCUCUACCUCACCUCUGGCAAAUAAAUUAGGAUCCUGCUAGCUUUCAGCUCCCUCUACAGUUAACAAAAAGGGAAACUAUCUGAGGGUUACACAGGUGACCUGAGACCUGAAUCACAGCUUGAAGACCCUGGUCUCUCUCCAUUGACUAAACAGAGAGCGUACCUUAUCUGUGUGCCUAACCUAGGCAGCUCAGAUACCAACUGGAAUUUGUGGGGAAACAUGAUGUAAGGGGUAUAAGUGAGCAAGGGUUAGAUGAGAGAGGAAAUACUUCUACCAAAACAGUGAGAUGAACUGAGAAAACUGGAAAAGGACUUCUGUCACUGCUUAGGGCCCAAGAGGAGGGAGAACAUUUGUCAAACAUAUUGUCUCCUUUUGCUGCAAGAUGGGAGGGUGGACCAAAAAUAAUAAUUCAAAACCUUGAAAGAUUUUGCAAAGCUGAAUUGUCUUCCUCUGGCAAUGCAAGCACACCCACCCCGGGCACAGAAAUGCUCCUCAGCCCCAGAGGAGUGCAGGGCUCUGCCUCUCACUACCACACCCAGUGCCAAGGACAUUGUGAGAAUUUGAAGACAUGGCUCUCAUCAGUAGAAAACUGGGUCUCCUCUACAAGCAACUCCUGAAGAAUUCAAUUGCCAUGAUGUGACGCUCCCUUCCUGAUAUACAGAGUUGCCAGGGGUGUCGUCUUUCUGCACGUUGGUGCGGUAGCCUGGACAGACAUCUCUCUCCACUGUGAUACCAGAUAUGUUCCUGAAUCUGGAAGCAACAGCUUGGGUCUAAAACAACCUCACCUACUAAAAGCAAGUCUGACAUGAUGCUUUUUGCUAUAUGCUGGCCUUUGGUUGUCCUAUAUAAAAUGUAGUAUCCUAGCUUCUGUUGCAUUCAGGGGAUCCCAGAGGCCAGACACAAAUGUGACUAUGUAAGUCUGAACCCAAAGCAAGAACUGAGAAUUGGACACAACCGAGGUGUUUCCCUUUAUUCAUCAGUUUCUCUCUUGGCCAGGUUGAGUCCAAUGUAGUUUACACAGGUUCAUACUGAUCUUA